UACGGGGGGAGCAAGCGUUGUUCGGAUUUACUGGGCGUAAAGGGCGGGUAGGCGGCCACCGCAAGUCGACUGUGAAAUCUCCGGGCUUAACCCGGAAAGGUCAGCCGAUACUGCGGGGCUAGAGUGCAGAAGGGGCAACUGGAAUUCUCGGUGUAGCGGUGAAAUGCGUAGAUAUCGAGAGGAACACCUGCGGCGAAGGCGGGUUGCUGGGCUGACACUGACGCUGAGGCGCGAAAGCCAGGGGAGCAAACGGG
This 254-nucleotide ribosomal RNA is filed under the name uncultured bacterium. RNAcentral's name for it is "partial 16S ribosomal RNA". It matches the Rfam family "Bacterial small subunit ribosomal RNA", at positions 524 to 776 of the family's 1533-position model. The record is from RNAcentral.